GACAAACGCUGGCGGUAUGCCUAACACAUGCAAGUCGAACGGACAGAACAGGGAAGCUUUUCGGAGUGGAACUGGAAAGUUAGUGGCGGAUGGGUGAGUAACGCGUGGACAACCUACCUUGUAAAGGGGAAUAACCUCGAGAAAUCGAAGCUAAUACCCCAUAAUAACCUUGCUUCGCAUGAAGUAAGGAGGAAAGGCGGCCUUAGCGCUGUCGAUACAAGAUGGGUCCGCGUCUGAUUAGCUAGUUGGUGAGGUAAAGGCUCACCAAGGCGACGAUCAGUAGCCGGCCUGAGAGGGUGAACGGCCACAUUGGGACUGAGACACGGCCCAAGCUCCUACGGGAGGCAGCAGUGGGGAAUCUUCCGCAAUGGGCGAAAGCCUGACGGAGCAAUGCCGCGUGAGUGAAGAAGGCCUUCGGGUUGUAAAACUCUGUCCUUAUCGAAGAGAGAGUGUUGUAGUAACUGACAAUACUAGGACGGUAGAUGAGGAGGAAGCCCCGGCUAACUAUGUG
Molecule: ribosomal RNA, 511 nt
Filed under: uncultured bacterium
Lineage: Bacteria
Description: partial 16S ribosomal RNA
Rfam family: Bacterial small subunit ribosomal RNA
Source: RNAcentral